This 455-nucleotide ribosomal RNA is filed under the name uncultured bacterium. RNAcentral's name for it is "bacterial SSU rRNA". It matches the Rfam family "Bacterial small subunit ribosomal RNA", at positions 340 to 786 of the family's 1533-position model. The record is from RNAcentral.
UACGGAAGGCAGCAGGGGGAAGUAUUGCACAAUGGGCGCAAGCCUGAUGCAGCCAUGCCGCGUGUAUGAAGAAGGCCUUCGGGUUGUAAAGUACUUUCAGUCGUGAGGAAGGUGUUAAGGUUAAUAACCUUAGCAAUUAGACGUUAGCGACAGAAGAAGCACCGGCUAACUCCGUGCCAGCAGCCGCGGUAAUACGGAGGGUGCGAGCGUUAAUCGGAAUUACUGGGCGUAAAGGGCACGCAGGCGGUUAAUUAAGUUGGAUGUGAAAUCCCCGGGCUUAACCUGGGAAUGGCAUUCAAGACUGGUUAGCUAGAGUCUUGUAGAGGGGGUAGAAUUCCAUGUGUAGCGGUGAAAUGCGUAGAGAUGUGGAGGAAUACCGGUGGCGAAAGGCGGCCCCUGGACAAAGACUGACGCUCAUGUGCGAAAGCGUGGGGAGCAAACAGGGAUUAGAUACC